Long non-coding RNA from Astatotilapia calliptera (eastern happy), 777 nucleotides. NCBI's taxonomy places the organism in Eukaryota, Metazoa, Chordata, Actinopteri, Cichliformes, Cichlidae. The record is from Ensembl.
AAAAAAGAUUUUAAGAUUAAUUUUUUUGCUCCUCUCACUCUAGCAGUUGAGCUGUCUCACUCUAGCCCCAACAUUCCGUCCCAUACACACCCAUUAUAAACUCUGAAACGGGUGAAAAAACAUCAUGAAACUUAAACUGGAACUGAAGAAAAAGUAUAAUAGAUAUUGAAAAGAUAAAUACAAGUUGAAUAGUUGAAUGUCUUGUCUUCGUUUUAAAGUUUGAAUGGUGGCUCUAUGUCAAUGUAUGUGGAAGUAGUAAGAGUUUAAAAAUGAGUAAGUUGAAUGAGGAUUUGAAGGGUCUCCCCAUUGAAAUACAUUAUAAAUUUUUGUUGAAUAAAGUUGAAUAAAAUUAAAAAUAUAAAUGUUAAAAAUAUGAAAAAUAGAAGCAGUGUUGUCCAAAAGAAUAGGAAUCUAACGGUGUUUGAAUGGUUUUUCUAAGUUGAACGGUUUUGAAGGAGUAGGCUUUCAAAAAACGUACGGAAUAAGAAAAUAUAAUAAUAAAGAUUAGAAGAACAAUACUGUGAAUGCUUUUCAAGCAUUCACACUAACUAGAAAUGCAUUUUUCUGAAGAAACUGCAGUGUGAAUGCUUGAAUCUGAAUGUAUGCACUGAAAUGAAUUAAUUACUGAAUUUAAGUUAAAAAUCUUGAAUGAGAUAAAAAAAAAAAAAACCCCGAAUUUAACCUGAAAACAAAAGUGCUGAACUGCUAAAAGCUGAAGGUUACACAGAAGAAGAAGUUGGAAAAAAGCUGAAAAUGUUUUAAAUUGUAAAUUAGAAA